RNAcentral lists this long non-coding RNA (1050 nucleotides) under Homo sapiens (human). Its description in RNAcentral is "non-protein coding lnc-VEGFC-3:1". Lineage: Eukaryota; Metazoa; Chordata; Mammalia; Primates; Hominidae. The record is from RNAcentral.
UUGAGACAAGUCUCAGGUCUCUUUGGAUUUCCCUGGAAGAUCCUGGUGUGUGCUGCUGUCGUUGUUUUCUCAAGUGACUGAUGCAAAAAAAAAAAAAGGUCUUAAAAGUAUCUCAGAAGGAGGCAGAUUGCUUCAGAAUAAAUUAAUGCACACUUUGAAAGAAAAUACUCAUCUUUGGGAAAGUCUAAAACUGUUUGCCCAAGAAACUGCAGUAUGGAAGCAAAGCUUAAAGAACAGAAAAAAGUGUUUGAAAACUCAAACCCAGGAAUGAAAACGGUUGUAAAUAACAAAGAGAGAAAAUUAAGAUGUCUGACUGAAACCGUGCUGAAGAUCACACAUUUUCCUGAUCUCUUUAAAGAUUAAAUGAAUGAUAGCAACGUGGAAUUAGAGACAAAGAGUGAAUCAGAAAAUGGAGAUCACCUAGGCUAGCAGUCAGAAGGUGAAGAAACUCAUGGAAUCUAUUAAUGUAGAUGUUUCCACUAAAUGCCUUCAAGGAGAAAAAUAAGAAAUAUUCAAAGACUUUUCUGAAAAAAAUCAAACAAAUGAAUAACUUACAGGACAAAUAAAAGGUCUCCAAACUGAGCAAGUGUCUUUGCAGUCUGAAAACUCACAGCUUGAAAGUGGGAUUCAGAAGCUUCAGCUGAAACUUCAAAUACUGCCUAAAAUACAUCAAGAACAUAUAAUGAAGCUUCAGAGAACAUCAGCUAAGGACAAAAUGUGCUGCUUAGAAACAGAGAACAAACUUCCCAAAGCAUAUGUUAGCAUGAACUACACAUCUCAGAAGUGCAACCUCUAUGGGAAGAUGGCCAAAGGCCUGGGCCAAAAAUUGGAAAGAAUGAUUCUUUCCUAUCAAAACCAGGUUCUCUUCUAUGGGAAAGGGCUUAAGAAAGUUGAAUGGCAGCUCUGUUGACCAAGAGAACUCUCAAUGAGUCAAGAAAAGAAAAUGACCAUAACAGAUAAAUAUUGGCUAAAACAGAGUUUUAAUUCCAGUCUUGGUUUGACUCCACCUUCACAGCAGCUGACCUCUGAGCACCCAUAAUUGCAACAGAA